RNAcentral lists this small nuclear RNA (108 nucleotides) under Meriones unguiculatus (Mongolian gerbil). RNAcentral describes it as "U1 spliceosomal RNA (ENSMUGG00000001669.1)". It matches the Rfam family "U1 spliceosomal RNA", at positions 1 to 113 of the family's 166-position model. Rfam says of the family: U1 is a small nuclear RNA (snRNA) component of the spliceosome (involved in pre-mRNA splicing). Its 5' end forms complementary base pairs with the 5' splice junction, thus defining the 5' donor site of an intron. The record is from RNAcentral. Lineage: Eukaryota; Metazoa; Chordata; Mammalia; Rodentia; Muridae.
AUACUCACCUGGCAGGGGAGAUACCAUGAUUGCGAAGGUGUUUUUCCCAGGGUGAGGCUUAUCCUUUGCACCGUUUUUCAGUGCUUUGAAAUACUGAUUAAUUUAGAA